RNAcentral lists this ribosomal RNA (465 nucleotides) under uncultured bacterium. RNAcentral describes it as "partial 16S ribosomal RNA". It matches the Rfam family "Bacterial small subunit ribosomal RNA", at positions 339 to 795 of the family's 1533-position model. The record is from RNAcentral.
CUACGGGACGCUGCAGUGGGGAAUAUUGCACAAUGGGCGCAAGCCUGAUGCAGCCAUGCCGCGUGUAUGAAGAAGGCCUUCGGGUUGUAAAGUACUUUCAGCGGGGAGGAAGGGAGUAAAGUUAAUACCUUUGCUCAUUGACGUUACCCGCAGAAGAAGCACCGGCUAACUCCGUGCCAGCAGCCGCAGGUAAUACGGAGGGUGCAAGCGUUAAUCGGAAUUACUGGGCGUAAAGCGCACGCAGGCGGUUUGUUAAGUCAGAUGUGAAAUCCCCGGGCUCAACCUGGGAACUGCAUCUGAUACUGGCAAGCUUGAGUCUCGUAGAGGGGGGUAGAAUUCCAGGUGUAGCGGUGAAAUGCGUAGAGAUCUGGAGGAAUACCGGUGGCGAAGGCGGCCCCCUGGACGAAGACUGACGCUCAGGUGCGAAAGCGUGGGGGGCAAACAGGAUUAGAUACCCGUGUAGUC